Molecule: unclassified non-coding RNA, 208 nt
Filed under: Hevea brasiliensis (rubber tree)
Lineage: Eukaryota; Viridiplantae; Streptophyta; Magnoliopsida; Malpighiales; Euphorbiaceae
Source: RNAcentral
GAAAGAUAUCACCGGUUAGUCGUUCUGGAUUGCUCAUUGUAAAUUUGUCUUCGAAUGAAAUUCCAUGCUUGGAUCUUCCGCCGGAGAGAAGUGCCAGAGAGAUGCGGUGCCUCGCCGAGUCAGCUGGGUGAGGUUUCUGGUGGCUGUCCGAUUCGCCAGACAGAUGGUGGUAGGUCGGCGUCAGGAGAGAGGGCGGCGUUCGGGUGGC